AGCAUUGGUAUCAAGGCAAAGUACAUGUAGUCGAUGGUAUCAUUAAGUCCAUUUCUUGAUAUUGAUAUGACCAUGAUCUUGAUAUUACCAAACAAUGAUGCACGCCCACGUCGGUUGAUGCUCACCAUAAUACUGAUAAAAUGUUCUUUUGUAUCAGAUACCAACAUAGCUAAAUUGCAAGCCAAGAACAGUGCUGUGUACAGUUGAACGAAAGUCAAUUUUACUACUUUCAAUUUGCUCGAUAGCGACUCCGUAAUUUAGAUCUUCUUUGUAGAAAUGCAACAUUUAUGUCAUAAAUAGUACUAAGUUUUCUGUUCA
Molecule: long non-coding RNA, 318 nt
Organism: Xenia sp. Carnegie-2017
Lineage: Eukaryota; Metazoa; Cnidaria; Anthozoa; Malacalcyonacea; Xeniidae
Exons: 4
Source: RefSeq, a predicted model, not a curated record